Molecule: small nuclear RNA, 103 nt
Filed under: Dasypus novemcinctus (nine-banded armadillo)
Lineage: Eukaryota; Metazoa; Chordata; Mammalia; Cingulata; Dasypodidae
Source: RNAcentral
GUGCUCACUUUGGCAGCACAUAUACUAAAUUUGGAACGAUAUGGGAAGAUUAGCAUGGCCUCUGUGCAAGACAACAUAAUCCCUCCACGUUUAUCUGUUUUGU